CCUACGGGUAGCAGCAGUGGGGGAUAUUGGACAAUGGGGGAAACCCUGAUCCAGCGACGCCGCGUGAGUGAAGAAGUAUUUCGGUAUGUAAAGCUCUAUCAGCAGGGAAGAAAGAAAUGACGGUACCUGAGUAAGAAGCCCCGGCUAACUACGUGCCAGCAGCCGCGGUAAUACGUAGGGGGCAAGCGUUAUACGGAAUUACUGGGUGUAAAGGGAGCGUAGACGGUACUGCAAGUCUGGAGUGAAAGGCGGGGGCCCAACCCCCGGACUGCUCGGGAAACGGUGUAACUGGAGUGCCGUGGAGGCAGGCGGAAGUCCGAGUGUAGCGGUGAAAUGCGUAGAUAUUAGGAGGAACACCGGUGGCGAAGGCGGCCGGCUGGACUGUAACUGACGUUGAGGCUCGAAAGCGUGGGGAGCAAACAGGAUUAGAUACCCCAGUAGUC
This 443-nucleotide ribosomal RNA is filed under the name uncultured bacterium. RNAcentral describes it as "partial 16S ribosomal RNA". It matches the Rfam family "Bacterial small subunit ribosomal RNA", at positions 338 to 795 of the family's 1533-position model. The record is from RNAcentral.